This 75-nucleotide transfer RNA is filed under the name Thermoplasmata archaeon. Its description in RNAcentral is "tRNA-Thr". It matches the Rfam family "tRNA". Rfam says of the family: Transfer RNA (tRNA) molecules are approximately 80 nucleotides in length. Their secondary structure includes four short double-helical elements and three loops (D, anti-codon, and T loops). The record is from RNAcentral. Lineage: Archaea; Methanobacteriati; Thermoplasmatota; Thermoplasmata. RNAcentral also lists the same sequence under 4 other names.
GCCGCUGUGGCUUAGUGGUAUAGCAUCUGAUUCGUAAUCAGAAGGCCGAGGGUUCAAAUCCCUUCAGCGGCUCCA